CAGUCGCCGCGGUAAUACGUAGGUGGCAAGCGUUGUCCGGAAUUAUUGGGCGUAAAGGGCUCGCAGGCGGUUUCUUAAGUCUGAUGUGGAAGCCCCGGCUCAACCGGGGAGGGUCAUUGGAAACUGGGAAACUUGAGUGCAGAAGAGGAGAGUGGAAUUCCACGUGUAGCGGUGAAAUGCGUAGAGAUGUGGAGGAACACCAGUGGCGAAGGCGACUCUCUGGUCUGUAACUGACGCUGAGGAGCGAAAGCGUGGGGAGCGAACAGGAUUAGAUACCCCGGUAGUCCCUGUCUCUUAUACA
This 301-nucleotide ribosomal RNA is filed under the name uncultured bacterium. RNAcentral describes it as "partial 16S ribosomal RNA". It matches the Rfam family "Bacterial small subunit ribosomal RNA", at positions 509 to 808 of the family's 1533-position model. The record is from RNAcentral.